AACAGCGGCAACAACAACACACACGCACGACUUCGGUGUACUUUAUGUGGGGUUUUAACCCACAUUCCCGAAAAAGUCGAGCAAACGCGGGAGCGCGGCAGGAGCAACACAAAAAUAAACGACUUUGGAGAACGCGUUGCAACGCAUCACUUGUAUUUCUCUCUGUGUGUGUGUGUGUGUGUGUGUGUGUGUUUAUGUUUGUGUGGCGAAUUGAGAGGAGGCCAUUUAAGAAUAGCAUGUGACACGGAAAUCUCUAGCCCAAAACACGAAAAAGAAAACACAAUUGAGGGCAAUUGCAGUUUUCCGCUGAGUUUAUAGACUUUGGGGGAAAUCUCAAAACCCACCUUGAUUUCAUACGUUUUAUUUGUAUUGAUUUUAUUCAUACGGGACGUCCUUGAUGAUUUUUCUUUUGGUACAAAAACCAGAGAUUCUUCUUGGCCGGUUGCCAUAAUAAGACUAUAUACCCCCUAUAGUCUAGGCUAUCACGCAACAUGCGUUAAAAAAACGUUUGCGUUCAACCAUGGCAACGUGGAAGGCUGCGAUAGGAGAAAAAAUUCGAUUGGUCUGGUAAGUUUGAAAUAUAAUUGACCACGGACUCGAGCAACAUACACUCAUAAACAUCAAGCUGGAGAUAACGCUCGGUCGCUGAGGAUAAACUUUUACUUCUAAGAUUCUUUCCUUGGGGUGACCGUCGAUCGGUGAAAGAACAUUGAAAAAAUAAUACUUGUGCUAUCGCCUCUGGACACCAAAUACCUCUCUCAUCAUAAAAGAAAAAGUUAACACAAAAUCUGGUUAGACUUGGUGGAUCGUAAAAGCUAGCUGAGAAAAAAGAAACUAUUUAUUGGCGUCGAUUAUUAUGCAAAUACGAGUACCGCCCUUGAGCGGUGUGUGUGUUCAUUACGUGUAAUUCAAUCAGCUAAUAUCGUAUGUAAACGCCCAGUAAAUAUUGUACAAUGUGCAGUCAGGUAAACUCAUUUCGUCAAGCGCACGGCCGCGGAAAGCUUCACUUGUUUUUUGGCACGCAUUCCAUAUAUUCGUUUUGUUCCUCCUUCUUGAUAUUUUCUUUUACGAUAAAACAAAAAUAUGUAACAACUUUAGUAAAACCAAAUGUGCAUGCGCGUUUAUCGAAAGCGGUUCCGCGUUCUACGUCUAUUACGUGCUGUCGUAAAUGAGUCCGCUUUCUAAUACAGGCUGCUAAAUGUCAAGUAGAGCUAUCAGGCCAAAUUUAACGGAAUGACAACGGAGCGUGAAAGAAAGGCUCUUCUCCACUCAUAUUCCGCAUGCAUAUAUUUAUCCUCUUACCAGAACAUAAAAUGAGAAAGAAGAAACUACAAAUACUGUAGUGUCCCUUUCAUUUUCUGACAUCCCAGUUCCGUAUUACGUAUAGCACUGCUUGCACUCUCUCUCUGUCUAUAUGAUUGCCGCUCGUCCCGGUCCUCUUCGCUUUGUGAUUUUUAUGAUUUUCAAGUCUGACAGUCAAGACAUUGGCCAUAUUUGAACGGUGCUUUCACCUCUUUGGGAGCGACAGCACUUUCGCACUUGUGUGCACACGCGCCAGGAAAAGAGAGAAUCGAUCAGAAAGCUACUCGUAACAGGCGAUAACAAAUUCUUCCUCGACUUCUUGAUCCAGGAUAUAACCUGUUUCUUUUGCUUUCUUAUUAUAUUCUUCAUUGUGUAGUUUUUCUUGUUUAUGCUGUAGGUAUUAUAGCGUACGACAUUAAACACAUGACGACAACUGAAGGGCAUUUUUAAGUUUACAGCGGUAGGGCACAGGUGUUUGCAUGACUCAAUAGAUGGCCAACUGUUAUCGUCGUCGUUGACAUAGUCAGACGAUGUCAGAAAAAAGUGUAAGGGUGACGUGUUGUUUGAUUCACGGUCUUCUACUCAAUUUCGGAUCGCUUUCUAUCAAUGAAAGUCUAUUAUACGCCCGUCCAAACCGAGAAAAAAGCAGAUAACUGAAAUGUGGAAAAAAGUACAAUGCUUUUCAACAAUAGUAAGGAAAACUCUACCCUACCCUACCCUAAAUCUUCCCAGCAGCCAGCAGGAUGUAUCUCCCAUACCAAAUGUAGCUGCAUCAACCAUACCUUAUUGUUAGCAGUUGGAAUGUGCUGGAAUAAAUUUUAUGCAGCUAUUUGAAAGGUGAAUUUGUUAUACCAAAAUCACGAUUUUGGUCAAAUCCGACUUUUGACUAAAAACACCAUGUCAUUCCAACCCCAAAUUUGAUGAGGAUCACGAAAAUUCUACUCGUUUUGUUAUGGGAUCAUUAUUUCCGGAGAUAUUGGCUAUUUCUGGUUACUUCCGGGAAAUUUCCGUGACAAUUCGCAAAAAUACAGGCUGACCCUACGAGCAACGACAGUUUUAGCUACAAAUGUUUAGCGCCUCGUCUUGCAACUAGAAGUUGAUUUUCUAGGUUUUAAAAUUUGAAAUUUGAA
RNAcentral lists this long non-coding RNA (2432 nucleotides) under Daphnia magna. RNAcentral's name for it is "uncharacterized LOC116915748, transcript variant X2". The record is from RNAcentral. Lineage: Eukaryota; Metazoa; Arthropoda; Branchiopoda; Diplostraca; Daphniidae.